Molecule: long non-coding RNA, 1011 nt
Filed under: Oryctolagus cuniculus (rabbit)
Lineage: Eukaryota; Metazoa; Chordata; Mammalia; Lagomorpha; Leporidae
Description: lncRNA (ENSOCUG00000030279.1)
Source: RNAcentral
AUGUCCCGGUGCGUCCAGGCGCACCCCCGUGUCCCAGUGCAUCCAGGCCCACCCCCAUGUCUCGGUGUGUCCAGGCGCACCCCCGUGUCCCAGUGUGUCCAGGCCCACCCCCCGUGUCCCGGUGCAUCCAGGCGCACCCCCGUGUCCUGGUGUCUCCAGGCGCACCCCCGUGUCCCGGUGUCUCCAGGCGCACCCCCGUGUCCCGGUGUCUCCAGGUGCACCCCCGUGUCCCGGUGCGUCCAGGCACACCCCCGUGUCUCGGUGUGUCCAGGUGCAUCCUCGUGUCCCGGUGUGUCCAGGCGCAUCCUCGUGUCCCGGUGUGUCCAGGCCCACCCCUGUGUCCCGGUGUGUCCAGACACAUCCCUGUGUCCCGAUGCGUCCAGGCCCACCCCCGUGUCCCGGUGCGUCCAGGCCCACCCCCGUGUCCCGGUGCGUCCAGGCGCAUCCCCGUGUCCUGGUGUGUCCAGGCCCACCUCCGUGUCCCAGUGUGUCCAGACACAUCCCCGUGUCCCGGUGUCUCCAGGCACACCCCUGUGUCUCGGUGCAUCCAGGUGCACCCCCAUGUCUCGGUGCGUCCGGGCCCACCCCCGUGUCCCGGUGCGUCCAGGUAUAUCCCCGUGUCCCAGUGCGUCCAGGCACAUCCCCGUGUCCCAGUGUCUCCAGACACACCCCUGUGUCUCAGUGAAUCCACGCACAUCCCCGUGUCCUGGUGCCUCCAGGUGCACCCCCGUGUCCUGGUGUGUCCAGGCACACCCCCGUGUCUCAGUGCAUCCAGGCACACCCCUGUGUCUCGGUGUCUCCAGGCUGCGUUACAGCACCCACCAAGGGGCGGCUCCCAGUCCUCAGAGCCAAUUCCCCACGGUGCUCAGACUGGGGACCCCUGACCCAGUGAAUCCUUUCCUGGUGGAAGAGUCUAGGGUGUGGGUGGGGUCCCCGUACAAGGGCAUGGAGCCCAUUCAAGGGGGCACCUCCCUCUUGGUCACCCACAGGGCCUCACCUGUGGGACCGUGA